AGCUUUAUAGUCAAUUUUUAUGAUAUUAGACUGCAAUUCUAAAGUAGAUUAUUUAAUCUAAAGCUU
Molecule: transfer RNA, 66 nt
Filed under: Eocanthecona thomsoni
Lineage: Eukaryota; Metazoa; Arthropoda; Insecta; Hemiptera; Pentatomidae
Also listed under: 1 other name
Description: tRNA-Cys
Source: RNAcentral